AACGUUAUAUCACGGGGGCCGGCCUUGAAUUGCUUCGAGUUCCAUUGCGAAUGGCUCUUGCCAAUCCAGUGUGAUAAAAACUCAGCAUUUCUCCCCGCCCUGUCGGAACACUACCCAUGAUUUUUGCGCACCCAUUGUUUCCUCGGCAGGCUUGCUUGCCAGUAGGACCCUUUUUAAACCUUUUGCAAUUGCAGUCAGCGUCAGAAAAACUUUAAUAGUUA
RNAcentral lists this unclassified non-coding RNA (221 nucleotides) under uncultured Pyrenochaeta. RNAcentral describes it as "sequence contains ITS1". The record is from RNAcentral. Lineage: Eukaryota; Fungi; Ascomycota; Dothideomycetes; Pleosporales; Pleosporaceae.